Molecule: long non-coding RNA, 1681 nt
Filed under: Homo sapiens (human)
Lineage: Eukaryota; Metazoa; Chordata; Mammalia; Primates; Hominidae
Description: HSALNT0345306
Source: RNAcentral
AGCCUGAGGCUGGAUACCCCCGCUGGGCCCGGAUGACCCCGCUGGGCCCGGAGCAUCCUCCGGCGCUGCCCUCCCAGAGCCACGCAGAGGCUGAGGUGGCGCGGGGGCGGCCCCGGCUCCGCGAGAAGCGGCGGCAGCGAGGGCUGGAGGACCCGGGCUGCGGGGCUCCGGGGCGUCUGGCCUGGGUGGGACUGAGCCCAUCCAGGGACUGGGACUCUGGGAUUCUGGUGUAGGUGGAUCCGGGGCAGGCUCAGGACCAAGUCCCUCUCCUUCCACCAAGGAGCGCCCAGAGGCCGGCGGGAGCUCCAGGUUCACCUCCUCCUCCUCCAGGAAAUCCCACUUCCAGCUAGAUGUCUGCAUGAACUACUGAAAGCUGCUGAGUGUCUUGCAGCAGGUGAGCUGUGGCCAGAGCUCAAGGAUGAAGGGGACUCCCUCACUCUGUGACUGUGAAGAGGAAGCCUGAGGUGUAGCAGGCCCAGGCCCCAGAAGUAUGGAAAAAAUGAGGUUUGACAGAAUUCAUGUUGCUGCCAUAGAGGGGCUCUUUUCAAACUGAUGUCUUAAAUCUUGUUCACGCCAUUUUCAAUCCAGAGGAAGACCUUCUAAAAGAGGUGAUGGAUGGGAGAGUGCUGACAUACUAUGUGAAGCUACUAUUUGGAGUUGGACACGAGUGCAUGUGACCUUGUGCCACAGCGGGAAUCUUGACUACCACACAAAUGAAUCCAUUCAAAUGUUGGCAAGUGGAGCAGAGUCCCAGGACAGGUACAGAAACACCCCCAGUUCAAGAAUCUUCACAUCUGAAUUUAGUCCUACACCUGCAACUACCCCAGGUAAGUUUCCUUGUUCUUCAAUGGCAAAGUUUGGACAAUGCUGUUCAAACUCCAGGCAACAAGCAACAUCUAGGGAAUGUGCUUUUAGGUAGGGUCAGCAUAAUAUCCCACCCUGGAAGACAUUUUUAUUUUAAAGUUGUAGAGGGUGAUGCUGCUGGCGGCUCCCUCCCAAUUAGCACCAUUUGCAGCCUCUUUUGAAGACAGAGAACUGAGGGCUGUCCUUCAAAUGGAGCAGUGUGAUUCCAAAAAAAAGAGAUGCUCCUUGUGGUCCUGGGACCAGGGAUAGGACUCCAGCUGAGCCUGGUGGAAGAGGUCCACGUCCUAGCCCAACGGAGAGCCAUGCAGCUGAGCUUGGGCGAUGUGGUCCACGUGGUUGUUUCUGAGUGUGUCCUGAGGUUGCUGGAUGGCUUGCAGUUCCCUAUGCAGAUCCAAUGCUUCUUUUGCUUUUUUGGUUCUGCAACCUGGAAUUUAUAUGUUCAAGAUGGAGCCAUCUCAGCCAUGACAACAGAGAAUGUACCACUCUCACAUGAGGAAGAGGGGUAGGAAGUGCUCCUGUAUCACCAGCCCUUAAUGAGACCCUGAGGAAACCACAUCAUGGAGAUCAGCCCUUCUCUCCUGUAAGGAACUCAUCCUAUGAAAGAGCAAUUAGUGCCUGCAAGAGCUGUCUCUGGGACAGCUGUUCAUGUCUAUAUCUGCAGGGUAACCCUCAUAGUCAUAUGCAGUCAUAUCCAUAGUCAUAUCGGGAGUCAGACUCCAGUUUGACUGAGUGAAUGGAGAAACUAAACAUUUAUUACUGAAUAAUAACAUUAAUAAACCAUCUUAAUGAUAGUAAUAAUAAACAUAUUGAUGAGUAU